RNAcentral lists this ribosomal RNA (960 nucleotides) under uncultured bacterium. RNAcentral describes it as "bacterial SSU rRNA". It matches the Rfam family "Bacterial small subunit ribosomal RNA", at positions 8 to 956 of the family's 1533-position model. The record is from RNAcentral.
AGAGUUUGAUCCUGGCUCAGAUUGAACGCUGGCGGCGUGCUUAACACAUGCAAGUCGAACGUGAAAGUCCUUCGGGGCGAGUAAAGUGGCGCACGGGUGAGUAACGCGUGGAUAAUCUACCCUUAAGAUGGGGAUAACGGCUGGAAACGGUCGCUAAUACCGAAUACGCUCCCGAUUUUAUCAUUGGGGGGAAAGAUGGCCUCUGCUUGCAAGCUAUCGCUUAAGGAUGAGUCCGCGUCCCAUUAGCUAGUCGGCGGGGUAACGGCCCACCAAGGCAACGAUGGGUAGCCGGUCUGAGAGGAUGACCGGCCACACUGGAACUGGAACACGGUCCAGACUCCUACGGGAGGCAGCAGUGGGGAAUAUUGCGCAAUGGGCGAAAGCCUGACGCAGCGACGCCGCGUGAGGGAUGAAGGUUCUCGGAUCGUAAACCUCUGUCAGGGGGGAAGAAACCCCCUCGUGUGAAUAAUGCGAGGGCUUGACGGUACCCCCAAAGGAAGCACCGGCUAACUCCGUGCCAGCAGCCGCGGUAAUACGGAGGGUGCAAGCGUUAAUCGGAAUCACUGGGCGUAAAGCGCACGUAGGCGGCUUGGUAAGUCAGGGGUGAAAUCCCACAGCCCAACUGUGGAACUGCCUUUGAUACUGCCAGGCUUGAGUACCGGAGAGGGCGGCGGAAUUCCAGGUGUAGGAGUGAAAUCCGUAGAUAUCUGGAGGAACACCGGUGGCGAAGGCGGCCACCUGGACGGUAACUGACGCUGAGGUGCGAAAGCGUGGGUAGCAAACAGGAUUAGAUACCCUGGUAGUCCACGCUGUAAACGAUGGGUGCUGGGUGCUGGGAUGUAUGUCUCGGUGCCGUAGCUAACGCGAUAAGCACCCCGCCUGGGGAGUACGGUCGCAAGGCUGAAACUCAAAGAAAUUGACGGGGGCCCGCACAGCGGUGAGUAUGUGUUUAAUUCGAUG